Molecule: ribosomal RNA, 483 nt
Filed under: uncultured bacterium
Lineage: Bacteria
Description: partial 16S ribosomal RNA
Rfam family: Bacterial small subunit ribosomal RNA
Source: RNAcentral
AUUGAACGCUGGCGGCAUGCUUUACACAUGCAAGUCGAACGGCAGCGCGGGCUUCGGCCUGGCGGCGAGUGGCGAACGGGUGAGUAAUGCAUCGGAACGUGCCCAGUAGUGGGGGAUAGCCCAGCGAAAGCCGGAUUAAUACCGCAUACGACUGAGGGUGAAAGCGGGGGACCGAAAGGCCUCGCGCUAUUGGAGCGGCCGAUGUCGGAUUAGCUAGUUGGUGGGGUAAAGGCUUACCAAGGCGACGAUCCGUAGCUGGUCUGAGAGGACGACCAGCCACACUGGGACUGAGACACGGCCCAGACUCCUACGGGAGGCAGCAGUGGGGAAUUUUGGACAAUGGGGGCAACCCUGAUCCAGCCAUGCCGCGUGCGGGAAGAAGGCCUUCGGGUUGUAAACCGCUUUUGUUCGGGAAGAAAUCCUCUGGGCUAAUACCCCGGGGGGAUGACGGUACCGGAAGAAUAAGCACCGGCUAACUACGUG